RNAcentral lists this transfer RNA (65 nucleotides) under Dipodomys ordii (Ord's kangaroo rat). It matches the Rfam family "tRNA". Rfam says of the family: Transfer RNA (tRNA) molecules are approximately 80 nucleotides in length. Their secondary structure includes four short double-helical elements and three loops (D, anti-codon, and T loops). The record is from Rfam by way of RNAcentral. Lineage: Eukaryota; Metazoa; Chordata; Mammalia; Rodentia; Heteromyidae.
GGUGGCUCAAUGGUAGAGCUCUUGCCUUGCAUGCAUGAGGCCCUGGGUUCGAUUCCUCAGUACCA